UGCGGAAAUUUAGUUGCAAACUAAACGUCGUCUAGGCAAAAGCACCCUCUACAAAAAAUAAAUCUGAGAAAAUAUAUACAGAAAUCGAGCGUCCGACCCGUGUAGUAUUUUGUGUUUUUCUUUUCGUUUUUUGGCAACAAUUUCUAUUCGAAACGUGUAUAAUUGUAUGUGUAUUUGAUGAGAGUGUAUUAGAGAAACAGUGGUAAUUAAAAUAAGCAUGAAAUUAUAAAAUAUGCCCUAAAGAUAAACACAGCUAAACCAAAAAAAAAAA
This is a long non-coding RNA of Lucilia sericata (common green bottle fly), 271 nucleotides long. RefSeq lists it as uncharacterized. NCBI's taxonomy places the organism in Eukaryota, Metazoa, Arthropoda, Insecta, Diptera, Calliphoridae. The record is from RefSeq and is a predicted model, not a curated record. The transcript has 2 exons.